This 375-nucleotide ribosomal RNA is filed under the name uncultured eukaryote. Its description in RNAcentral is "partial 18S ribosomal RNA". It matches the Rfam family "Eukaryotic small subunit ribosomal RNA", at positions 592 to 976 of the family's 1831-position model. The record is from RNAcentral.
CAAUAGCGUAUAUUUAAGUUGUUGCAGUUAAAAAGCUCGUAGUUGGAUUUCGGUUAAGAGCGACCGGUCCGCCGUUUGGUGUGCACUGGUUGGUUUUAACUUCCUGUAGAGGACGUGCUCUGGGUUUAACGACCUGGACUCGGAGUCUACGUGGUUACUUUGAAAAAAUUAGAGUGUUCAAAGCGGGCUUACGCUUGAAUAUUUCAGCAUGGAAUAACACUAUAGGACUCCUGUCCUAUUUCGUUGGUCUCGGGACGGGAGUAAUGAUUAGGAGGAACAGUUGGGGGCAUUCGUAUUUCAUUGUCAGAGGUGAAAUUCUUGGAUUUAUGAAAGACGAACUUCUGCGAAAGCAUUUGCCAAGGAUGUUUUCAUUAA